RNAcentral lists this long non-coding RNA (241 nucleotides) under Ananas comosus (pineapple). RNAcentral's name for it is "long non-coding RNA (ACOM_LNC036517)". The record is from RNAcentral. Lineage: Eukaryota; Viridiplantae; Streptophyta; Magnoliopsida; Poales; Bromeliaceae.
UGAAUGAUGAUGAUAAUGAUUCUCCGUUUGUAUUGCUUGUGAAUGAUGAUGUUUCUGCACUUGAUAAUUCCAUUGCAUCUUCUGAAAAUGUUGCAUCAAAUGAUUCAUCUGAGCCUCAAAGCACUUCAUCUGAAAUCCCUAGCGUAACUCCCGAGACUACAUCCCUAACAGAAACAAGAGAUCAUCCUUUAUCGAACUUAAUUGGGGAUCCUAAUGUUGGUGUGCGAACAAGAAGUCAGCU